UCCUGUGCUCGAGCUACUUGGAUAGCUU
Molecule: non-coding RNA, 28 nt
Filed under: Bombyx mori (domestic silkworm)
Lineage: Eukaryota; Metazoa; Arthropoda; Insecta; Lepidoptera; Bombycidae
Source: RNAcentral